This 566-nucleotide long non-coding RNA is filed under the name Bos indicus x Bos taurus (hybrid cattle). RNAcentral describes it as "lncRNA (ENSBIXG00005027078.1)". Lineage: Eukaryota; Metazoa; Chordata; Mammalia; Artiodactyla; Bovidae. The record is from RNAcentral.
AGCAGAUUCAUUUAGAGUUUUUCAUUUCAACUUUUACCUUCAGUGAUUUAGAAAUGUACGGAGUGUUUUCUGCUUCUCCACUUUUAGGACUUAAGAAGCUCUACUUAGAGAUCAAAGAGGUGGACUACACUAAUAAGCAGGAGGAGAGGAGAUAGGAAAUGAAUAAUUAAGAUGGAUUUAUCAGAAACAAGGAGAUCAUAUUGAAAUGUAUUCCUGGAGCACCGGGGCUUCACUGACCUCUCUGCUGUGGCUGGAGUCAAUGGUGAUUUCGCAUCACAGCACACCAAGGUUUUUAACCUCAACUGAGACCUCAAGACCAUCCUGCAGUUGUCAUGUUCCUGGUCAAUCUCUACUUUAGGAGCUGUACUCAUUCUCAGUCUAGCACUGGAACUGAUCCUGAUGUUUUUCCUACUAAAACUGAAAGGGAUCUGAUGAUGGAAAGUAAACACCUGGGAACUUUUCAGCUCAACAUAUUUGCGGCCCUGAGACUGCCAAGAUUCUUCACUGUGAAAGUUCUCCAAGGAUUAGCCUAUUCCUGUUCUCCCUGUUCCACACAUAAAUAUUAA